Molecule: long non-coding RNA, 471 nt
Organism: Entelurus aequoreus (snake pipefish)
Lineage: Eukaryota; Metazoa; Chordata; Actinopteri; Syngnathiformes; Syngnathidae
Exons: 3
Source: RefSeq, a predicted model, not a curated record
GAAUCUUAAACGAUGGUUUAGUGUGGCUGAAACUGGGCUUAGGCUAAAUAGUUAUUUGAUUAAGGGGUUAUCCGGCUUAGUGUAGACAGGGACUGAGUUACGAGCCCAGUCACGGAACAAACUCCGCUCAUAAACUGAGUGUGUGCAGGAGCCAAAGUACGGCCCCAGCCAUCCAGAGAGCCCAACCCAAAAAAGCAGUUGUGGUGCCCAGGGAAGAAGGGACCACAGGCCCCAGCUGUCAGGCCAGCUAGCGGCAAGAACCCCAGAGAAGCAGGUGACAGCCAACCCCUAAGCCAGCGAGAGACCACACCCCACGCGUGCACUAAGACGGGACACAUGUGAAGUGAAAACCAUUCCAGGUCUGGCCGCAAGCCCGCACCCAGACGACGGCACACCACUUGGCGUGAAGGAUGGUGCAGCAGAGGGUGAGGGCAGGCCCGGGUCGACACCCGACAAGCCAACCAACACGAC